Triticum aestivum (bread wheat) is the source of this 125-nucleotide non-coding RNA. The record is from Rfam. Lineage: Eukaryota; Viridiplantae; Streptophyta; Magnoliopsida; Poales; Poaceae.
GACAUACUUUCUCCGUCCGAAAAUACUUGUCGAAGAAAUGGAUAGAAAUGGAUGUAUCUAGAACUAAAAUACAUCUAGAUACAUCCAUUUCUCCGACAAGUAUUUCUGGACGUAGGGAGUACAAU